Molecule: ribosomal RNA, 328 nt
Filed under: Mysmeninae sp. MYSM-006-MAD
Lineage: Eukaryota; Metazoa; Arthropoda; Arachnida; Araneae; Mysmenidae
Description: bacterial SSU rRNA
Rfam family: Eukaryotic small subunit ribosomal RNA
Source: RNAcentral
CCGGGGCCGCACGCGCGCCACAUUGAAGGAAUCAGCGUGUGCUUUCCCGGUCCGACAGGAUUGGGUAACCCGUUGAACCUCUUUCGUGCUGGGGAUAGAUCCUUGAAAUUAGUUCUUGAACGAGGAAUUCCCAGUAAGCACGAGUCAUCAGCUCGUGUUGAUUACGUCCCUGCCCUUUGCACACACCGCCCGUCGCUACUACCGAUUGAAUGAUUAAGUGAGGUCUUCGGACUGGCGCUCGGGUUAGGCCUCCGGGUCCGAGCCGAAGUGCCGGAAAGAUGACCAAACUUGAUCACUUARAGAUAGUAAAAGUCGUAACAAGGUUUCC